UAGCUCCUACGGGAGGCAGCAGUGGGGAAUAUUGCACAAUGGGGGAAACCCUGAUGCAGCGACGCCGCGUGCGUGAAGAAGUAAUUCGUUAUGUAAAGCUCUAUCAGCAGGGAAGAAAAUGACGGUACCUGAGUAAGAAGCCCCGGCUAACUACGUGCCAGCAGCCGCGGUAAUACGUAGGGGGCAAGCGUUAUCCGGAUUUACUGGGUGUGAAGGGAGCGUAGACGGCAGUGCAAGUCUGGAGUGAAAGGCGGGGGCUCAACCCCCGGACUGCUCUGGAAACUGUACGGCUGGAGGGCAGGAGG
RNAcentral lists this ribosomal RNA (305 nucleotides) under uncultured bacterium. Its description in RNAcentral is "bacterial SSU rRNA". It matches the Rfam family "Bacterial small subunit ribosomal RNA", at positions 333 to 655 of the family's 1533-position model. The record is from RNAcentral.